Long non-coding RNA from Lethenteron reissneri (Far Eastern brook lamprey), 2142 nucleotides. RefSeq lists it as uncharacterized. NCBI's taxonomy places the organism in Eukaryota, Metazoa, Chordata, Hyperoartia, Petromyzontiformes, Petromyzontidae. The record is from RefSeq and is a predicted model, not a curated record.
CUCCCCCCCCACUCUCGCCUCCCUCUCCCCUCCCUCUCCCCUCCUCCUUCCUUUGCAUUUCGGCAGCAGGCCGUGGUGGUCGUGGCAGCGAGAGUCCUCUGUAAAGCCAUCGUAAAACGCCGCACUGAUGGAUUCGCCGAUGGCGAUGGGAGAAGAUGAACGGAGAUGGAAGCGAGGAGGCAUGGCAGAGGAAGCCUGCGGUGGUCUUUCCGUGGCGGGCAGGUGAAAGUGACGUCAAGACUCGUGGCAACAUCCUCCUGAGAAGUCAUCACCGAGUAUGCAGACCCGCAGGUGAAAGUGGCGCCAAGACUCAUGGCAACAUCCUCCUGAGAAGUCUUCACGGAAUACGCAGACCCGCAGGGUCCCCAUUAGCUCGCAGGACGAGGAGGAGGUGGGAUGCUUCAUUCACCUGCCCAUUCACCUCCCCACCCUAACAGACAGGUGAAAUUGACGUCAAGACUCGUGGCAACAUCCUCCUGAGAAGUCAUCACCGAGUACGCAGACCCGCAGGUGAAAGUGGCGCCAAGACUCAUGGAAACAUCCUCCUGAGAAGUCUUAAUGGAGUACGCAGACCUGCAGGGUCCCCAUUAGCUCGCAGGACGAGGAGGUGGUGGGACGCUUCAUUCACCUGCCCAUUCACCUCCCCACCCUAACAGACAGGUGAAAUUGACGUCAAGACUCGUGGCAACAUCCUCCUGAGAAGUCAUCACCGAGUACGCAGACCCGCAGGUGAAAGUGGCGCCAAGACUCAUGGCAACAUCCUCCUGAGAAGUCUUCACGGAGUACGCAGACCCGCAGGGGGGGGUCCCCAUUAGCUCGCAGGACGAGAAGGAGGUCCUCGUGGGACGCAUUAAUUCGCCUUCCCAGUCGUCCACCCUAACAGGCCGGUGAAUGUUGCGUUAAGACUCAUGGCAACGUCCUGCUGAGGAGUGAUGGAGUUCACAGACCCACAGGGGGGGGUCCCCAUUAGCUUGCAGGACGAGAAGGAGGAGGUCGUGGGACGCAUUAAUUCGCCUUCCCAGUCCACCCUAACAGGUAAAAUGACGUUUGAUCGCCGUACGCUCCGGCGGUCAUCGCUUCUGUGGCAGGUGCUGUAGCAGCAACAGGAGCCACAUGAUGAGAGAGAUGAGUUGCGGAUCGCUGAGCGAAUGUCGACCCAACAUCUAUCACCCCUGUCUGAUGGCUCCUCAUCCUUGCAAAGGCAGGGAGUUGAAAGUGGCCGGGUCGUGGUGCUGGCCACCCACCCCCCUUCAUGUGUCACAGUGCCGGCCUUCAUAGGCGCUCCUCAAAGACAGCCCUCACCCCGACAGCCUCUGCAGGCUUCACAGGCUGGUGAAUGUAUUAAGACUCAUGGCAACGUCCUACUGAGGAGUGAUGGAGUUCACAGACCCACAGGUUCUCAGCAGUGAGCAGUGCACCACCGCGUAUGUCAAGAGAACAUUGGCCGCAAGUGGACGUACCUGAACUACAACAGACUCUCGAUUUACGUGUUAAUGACGGGGAGGACAGCCAAGAUCACAGAUAAUCCAAAAUAUGCAUUUUCCGCGGAUCUCCAUGCAAAAAACGAAAUUAUCAACUGAUCGAUGCACGUGCUAAGUGAUAACUUUCCUGCUCCCGCCCAGCGGAAGACUCGGCCCACUAAGUGGAUGACAGCAGAGCCACACCAAUCAACAUCAAUCAAACUCCACCCUCUGUUGUAAAGAUAUUGCAAUGACUGUACUGUAGAGGAGACCACGUGGAUUUCGAAUUAACUGAAGCAACUAUAUUUGUUGGGUUUAAGCAUGCGACUUGUAAAACAUUUCCAGGAAUAACAAUGUAUUUCUUAGAUGAAUAAUUUGGGCUUAAGGGAAAAUCUGCGAGUUAUUAAUUUGUCAAUCUCAGGUGCGCGGUUAAUCCGCAAAUCGGAUAAACUGCGUGCAGAUAAUCGAGAGAGUACUCGAGCUCCUGAAACCCGUUCGUAAGUCAAACUGUUUGUAAGUCGGAACACAAUCAUGAUGCACUAUUUCAAUGCCCCCAUACGAGCAAUGUUAUGAAAUGUGUUCCAGUUCAUAAGGGAAGCAUUGGUAAAAACGUAAGAGAUACUGUACAUUUGCAUGUAAUAUUGAAGAAAAACACUAGUAAAUAAAAUAACAUCGAAUUUUU